This 404-nucleotide ribosomal RNA is filed under the name uncultured prokaryote. RNAcentral's name for it is "bacterial SSU rRNA". It matches the Rfam family "Bacterial small subunit ribosomal RNA", at positions 355 to 776 of the family's 1533-position model. The record is from RNAcentral. RNAcentral also lists the same sequence under 1 other name.
UGGGGAAUAUUGCACAAUGGGGGAAACCCUGAUGCAGCGACGCCGCGUGAGUGAAGAAGUAUUUCGGUAUGUAAAGCUCUAUCAGCAGGGAAGAAAAUGACGGUACCUGACUAAGAAGCUCCGGCUAAAUACGUGCCAGCAGCCGCGGUAAUACGUAUGGAGCAAGCGUUAUCCGGAUUUACUGGGUGUAAAGGGAGCGUAGACGGUUAAGCAAGUCUGAAGUGAAAGCCCGGGGCCCAACCCCGGAACUGCUUUGGAAACUGUUGAACUAGAGUGCAGGAGAGGUAAGUGGAAUUCCUAGUGUAGCGGUGAAAUGCGUAGAUAUUAGGAGGAACACCAGUGGCGAAGGCGGCUUACUGGACUGUAACUGACGUUGAGGCUCGAAAGCGUGGGGAGCAAACAGG